GGUGGCACAGUGGUAGAGCACUUGCCUUGCAUGCAUGAGGCCCUGGGUUAAAUUCCCCAGCACCA
This 65-nucleotide transfer RNA is filed under the name Dipodomys ordii (Ord's kangaroo rat). It matches the Rfam family "tRNA". Rfam says of the family: Transfer RNA (tRNA) molecules are approximately 80 nucleotides in length. Lineage: Eukaryota; Metazoa; Chordata; Mammalia; Rodentia; Heteromyidae. The record is from Rfam by way of RNAcentral.